AAAAAUAUAAGCUCUCCGUCUCAACCACCCGCCCUCCGUCUCAACCACCGGCCCUCCGUAUUGGUUCGAAAAUUUCUCACUCUCCCUUCCCCUUAAAUUGUUUCUUGUCUUAAUCUACUAAUAAAAUAAAAAUGGAUUCAAUGAAUGAUAUUAACAUGAUUAUGUUAUAUUCAGAUUUGUCAAAUUAGUUGGAAUGGUGGGCGGAGGUAUAAUCAAGCUGAAGACAUGGCAGCAGGCGGCGGUGGCAUUGGGUUCGGCAG
RNAcentral lists this long non-coding RNA (260 nucleotides) under Trifolium pratense (red clover). Its description in RNAcentral is "long non-coding RNA (TPRA_LNC013934)". Lineage: Eukaryota; Viridiplantae; Streptophyta; Magnoliopsida; Fabales; Fabaceae. The record is from RNAcentral.